Molecule: long non-coding RNA, 5484 nt
Filed under: Sus scrofa (pig)
Lineage: Eukaryota; Metazoa; Chordata; Mammalia; Artiodactyla; Suidae
Description: lncRNA (ENSSSCG00060048687.1)
Source: RNAcentral
UGUUGCUGCUGCUGCUGUUGUUGCUGCUGCGCAGCGGCCGCUGCCGCCGCCGCAGCCGCCGCCGCCUCCUUAGCCGACAGGGCCACCGUCUUGACCCCGACGGGCGGCGGCGGCCCGGGGGAGCGGCCGUCCUGGAAGCAGCCGUGCGCCCGCUUCAGCUGGCGCGCGGUCUCGAUCACAAACUCGAUGCGAUCCGCGCCCUCGUAGUUGACGCAACCGCGGCAUACGGGUUCCGAGAAGUCCCAGAUCAUGGCCCAGGGCAUGCGGGGCAGGAACCUGCGCUUCAACAACGGAGCUAAAUGAAUUCAGGGGGAGAUACCCCUCCCCCAAGCCGCACUCUAAAAAUUUUGGCUGAAUGUCUAAAGAAGCUAUGAGCACCCGGAGGCCUUUAAGGAAAACAGUCCACUGGCUGCACACAGCUGCAGCUGGGGGCAGGGAGGGGGAGGUGCUGGAGAGACCAAACAGGUUGACCGACAUGUUUCUGUACUGAGCGCAAGGGAUGUUUCCUGACUGUGUGCACGCAUCAGAGGCUCUAUUUUUCAUCUAGGGCUUCUGGUGACGGUUUAAAGCUGGAAGAACAAAGCAGAGCAUGAUGAGCCCCUCUCAGCAGCGUCCAGAGAGAAAGACUCUAUCCAAAGAGCUGGCUCCGUAGAGCGCAGAUGGGUGAUUUUACGUUUUAGUCAAGCCCGGAGCGGUCCUUGCCCCCCAAGGCCGUGCUCAUAUUUCAGAAACUAUUUUCCAUCCCCACCCCCAACACCCCCCCUCCUCUCUUCCUCUCUCUCUCUCCCUCCCUCUUUCUCUCUCUGUCCUUGUGGUGUCUGCUUCUUUGUUACCUUCAAAAGUUCUUCCUUUUUUCAGCCUUCCUUCCUCUCCCAAAUGGGAAGUUUGAACAAGCCAUGUGGGGGCCCUCGAGUGUCUUCCCAAAGGGAGGCACGCUCUGAGAUUCCGAACAGCCUAGACACUCCCCAGGUUCAGCCCGAUGACGAUGACGACAGAGGGGAGCCGGUGGUGUGGCGUCCCUGUCCCGGGGCCUGAGGAGCCUGCUUCCCAGAAGUCGGUGGAUUAGGAAGGUCUGCUUCAGGGGCUGCCAGGGAACAACUCCCUUUUGUGUUGCUGUCUAGCAUGUGACCAGAAUGCUGCCAGCUAAUUUUAACCCCACCAAAGUACGGCUGGGAAAAAAACAAAAAAACAACAACAACCGAAAAAAAAAAAAAAAACUGUCUUGCAUCUGGAGAGAGAAAUGCUGUGGGCUGGAUAAAAGCUUUUUCAGCCUGUGUUCCUUCCUGUUUCAGUUUCCAAACUUGCAUUAUCGGUAACCUGAAAAAUGAUGAGUUUCACCAAAUUCCUGGAUAUUGCACAAGAGGACAAUGAGUCUAUUUCGGGUGCUCUGACUGUGUCUGGCACAGACCCUGGAAGCCAUUGUUUUCGGGAGGGAGACGGUUUGGGGUUUCCUGGUGCUUUCCUUCUAGGGUCUCAGAGCCCCCAAAGGUGGGGGGGUGGCCCUCUCCAUGGUAACCAUGCAGGCCGUCCUCUGAAAGGACCUGGAUGGGAAGUGAGUGGCUGGGCGGGUGGGGGCAGUGGCAGUGGUGGCCUUGGAGGUGUUAAAAGGCAGAUGGCAGGGAGUGCUUGUCGGGGGACAGCAGGAGCAGGAAGAAGCAGGGAGAAGGAAGCGUUCAUAAUUGCUGGGUGCCCCCCCUCCCCAGGCCACCAAGCUCUCCUACUGAGUUUCCAUUAUCUGCUUUCAGCACCAGGAAUUAAUGGAGGACUUUCUCGGGGUCUUCACCCUGGAGACUGGCUCCUCGAAGCAUUUCCAUGGCGCUUAAUUGUUGCUCUCUGGCUAGGUGGCCGAUGAUGCUAGGGAAAAGGUACGGAAUCUCAAGAGACAGGAAAUGAAGAAGCUCGGAUGAGAUAGCGUGUAGCUCGGCAGCUGCUGCCGGCCGUUCUAAAACCAGGUAGAGAGACAGGCUGUCAUUUACCUGUGGGGCAUGGUGCAGUCCCAGAAGACACACGGUGAUGGCAAAGAGACUGAGGGGAAAGACCCUGGUUAAGGCUGCAGCACUCCUGGCAACCAGGAGGGCUUGGUGGCAUUUGUCCUCACAGUUGCUGAGAGCUUCAGCUGCCUACAAGGCCAUUUGCUCUGCCCGCCCCGUCCGGCCAGCCUCUAUGCCUUUAAAGGCUCCUUGUUGCUGUCUGAGGCCCACCUCUGCACCCGCAUCCUCUGGCAAAGCUGCUGUAUCUUUGAAAGCCAGGGAACUUCCUAGGAGACAUUUCCCCUACCAUCUGCCUCUGAGCUGCUGCCAUAACCUUCCCACAGCAGUCAAGUUCAGCCUCAAUUCCUAAAUGGAGGUUCUCUCUACUCUGUUGUUCCAAAGGCUUGUGUGGAACGAGAAGCUGUGCUUUAAUUAAAAAGAUGAGCGCGCGUAAGGGAACCGAUGAUUUUUGAUGCUUCACAAAGAUGUUUGAGUUUCGUUUCUUGCAUUUCACAGUAGGGGGUGGCCAGGCUGGUCAGCACUUUUAGGGGUAAGACCACUAAAUGCUUUUCCUGUUUGACGGACAGCUGGCGCUUGGCACAGUAGAAUUGUAAACGGAACCCAAAGGCCAGAAUCUGUUCCUUGGGUGUCUCUGCAGAGUGUCACCAGCCUUCAGGUAUCUGAGGACACGUUUCACAUUUACCUUUCCAGCCGGAGGAUGGAGGAUUCCUAAAUGUUUCCUCACAGCACCACAGCUGGAAUGCAGCUGCCGCAGGGUGGAACAAACACAAACUCUUUGUGGGUCAGCCGGGUGAGGGAGGGCAAGGACUCUUGGAAGGUUGGGAAAGUCCUUGUUUCUAAAGCCAGAGCUCAGGAAUGAGUGGGGCCUCUGAUGUGCAGAGCUUUCCAGAUGGGGGAAGGAAGGGUAAGUUUUUGCCCUCUGGGCAGAUUCCAAAAAAUCGCUUUGGGGAGGCCAACUAUUUUUGAAAUUGCCUUUCAAGCAAACAGCACAAAUGUUUAAAUUGACCUGGAAAACCCUUCCUUUUUCCUUUCCCUGCAAUCCAAGUCUGUUCCCUUGAACAUUAAUCCACAGGAGCAUUUUGCCCAAGCUUCUCUCUUUCCCCACGUCUUUGAAAAAUAUUAUUAUUAUUAUCUUUGGUUCGGAAAUCUUUUGGAAGCCUUCCCAGACUGGAGCUAUAGAAUGCUUCCAGGAAAAUGCCUAAGGAGUGUCUGUGUUUUGAGUUUCUCUGGAGGGGGUAAAACAUGUUUUUCAGAGCGACGGAGCUGGGGGCAGCCCGUCUUAUGCAAGAGGCCAGCCAAGCAAAAGGGCAGACUGCACGGAAGGGGCUGUGCGUUUCCCAAAGUGCUGAAACGAAGGUGUGGUUCAGCCGGCUCGCCUGUGCUCUUCUCUCAGUCUUUCAUUACUGCAGCUGCCUCGAUGUCAGUUCGUGUGUGAAGCAGCACCCCAGGAGAUGGGCUGAGGACAGCUGGGGGCCAGGGUUGGAACUUCAUUCUCAAGUUAGCAGCCUUUGUAAUUUCUUGCCCAAAGAACCCUUGGAAAUUUAGCUGGAAAAUUGCAGGGGUCAAGCAAUACUCACCCAGCAGGCGGGGGUCCCAUCCAGGCAUGGAAUGGAAUGGGCAAAAUGUACCCUGGGAUGCUGGCUGCCAAGGGUGGUGCCAGCCCCCAGCCCGUGCUCCCCUUGGUCCCAGAAACACAAACCCAGCUGCAUGCAUGCAUGUAUCAGAAACAUCAAUACAGAAAAGCAGAGAGCGCCCACAUGAGACCCGAGGGUGAUGGGUACUCGCAGUGCCCCCUCAGCGGUAGCAAAGGCAGCUGGGCUUUCCUGGAAAUACACGCCAUUCGGGCUGGUUCAUGGGAAAAGGAGCAGAAAGAGGUCCCUAGGAGGGCCGCCCCGAAUGAGGGCAGAGGUGCCCCAGCCACUCUCCAAUGCCAAGGCUGCUUCCUCCUGGGUCAGUCCCCUGUGGCUGUGAGGUCCCAGAGCCCUUAAGAGAGGGAGGAACUAGCAGGAGGCCUGCAGUGCUGGGACCCGGAGGACACAGCUCCUGGCUCUCUCUCCCCGUGAAUCUGAGGACUAUUUACUAGUAGGACUGUCCUGGUUCCUGCAGGAAAAUCUCUUUCCUUUCUGCCCAGGAGACACACUGACUUCAGAAGGCACCCCCCACCCCCACCCCACAGCAGGCUGGGAAGGUGCUUCACAGCCCAGAUUUUGGCAUAUUAACAGCAACGAUGGAGGCACAGCCACCUCUCAUUGAGCACUUUUGUGUCUGGCGUUGUGCUAAGAGUUUUAAUGCCUGCUGUCUUCCAAUCGGCACCUAGCAAAGGGGGGUUUGUUAUUAUUCCCUCUGUGUAGGUCAAGAAAAGGAAGCUCAGAGAGGUUAAGCAACCUAUCCCAGGCCACACAGCUAGUAAAUGGCGGCUGUAUUUAGAACUCAAGGUUACCCUAUUCUAGAGUCCUUAUCAGACAGACCUGAGUUUGAAUCCUGAGUGGGCCCUGUGUGAUUGUGUGAUCUGUGCCAACCUCCAGAUUCUUCUGUUUUCAUAAACCAAACAUAUCGAACUUUGGAAAUUUCAUGUAAUUUAGCCUAAAUUUUAUUUAUAAGGCAGUCGUAAGCGUUAAAUAAGAUAACGUAUAUAUAGUACUUAGCAGACUGCCUCGAAUGUAGUGAACACCGGAUGCUACCUUUUACGAGUAAUCUGAGUCAGUGUGUUUGUUCAGCAUGUGUUUGUCAAGUUUCAGGGUCUCAAGCCUUUGGAAGGACCCGCGCAGCCCUGAGUGGGCACAUCGGACCCCAAGGACAGCUGGACGUGGUGCUGAUGUGGGGAGAACCACGCCUCGUACCUUCUCUGUGACUUCUUUUAACUUGUGCCGGAACCCACACACCUGGAGCACACAUCAAUGUCUGAGCCAUUGAUCCCUCUCUUCCACGUUGCCCACUCACGUUCAGUUGGGUUCAUUAGAGGGUUCCAGUCUUCAAAAUCAUUCAAAGCUGAUGGCUUUAUUUCCUGCUGCAAAACCUCCUUCCAGGCACCUAACAGAAUCAAGACAAACUCCUUAGCUUGGCACACAAGGCUCCUGGGAAACUGCCUCCAAGCCCCCUUUCUGCCUCUUCCUGCCUGCCCUUUAAUUCCUUUCUGACCACGUUAAAUCCCUCUUUGUUCUGAACCGACAUGAACUCUCAAGCCCACGCCUUUGCAGGGCUCUUUGCUUUGCCUGGAAAGAAUGCUUUCCCGUCUUCUUCUUUGAGCAAACUUCUACGCAUCUUUCAAAAAACCCAACUCAGUUUUCACCUUUCCUAUGAAACUGGUCUCCAGCAUUUCCCUGCUCUUACUCCAUGACGGUCUGCCCUGAAUCUGUAACACAGAGUUGUAGUUAUCUGUUCAUACAACUCCCCCAUUGGGCACUUGUGAAGUUCAAGACCAGGGCUUACCCUUCUUGCCCCAAAGUCAUCUAGAAGGCCCUAAAUAAAUGCUAAUAAACACAUACUUUAAUUU